GACAGAGGUUGCAAACGUUGUUCGGAAUUACUGGGCAUAAAGCGCACGUAGGCGGUCCGUUCAGUCAUGUGUGAAAUCCCCCGGCUCAACCGGGGAAUUGCGCCUGAUACUGGCGGGCUAGAGAUCGAUAGGGGUGAGUGGAACUCCAGGUGGAGCGGUGAAAUGCGUAGAUAUCUGGAGGAACACCGGUGGCGAAAGCGGCUCACUGGAUCGAUACUGACGCUGAGGUGCGAAAGCUAGGGUAGCAAACGGG
RNAcentral lists this ribosomal RNA (253 nucleotides) under uncultured bacterium. RNAcentral's name for it is "partial 16S ribosomal RNA". It matches the Rfam family "Bacterial small subunit ribosomal RNA", at positions 524 to 776 of the family's 1533-position model. The record is from RNAcentral.